AGAUAAGCCAAGACACUGGGAAGUACGUGUUUGGUGUCGAUGACACACUGAAAACUCUUGAUAUGGGCGCAGUGGAGACUUUGAUCGUCUGGGAGAAUCUAGAUAUUACAAGGUUUGUUCUGAAGAACAGUGUUUCCGGUGAAAUUGUCAUAAAGCAUUUGAGCAAGGAGCAGGAAGCUGACCAGAGCAACUUCCGUGACCCUGCCGCCAAUGCGGAGUUAGAG
RNAcentral lists this unclassified non-coding RNA (224 nucleotides) under Hevea brasiliensis (rubber tree). The record is from RNAcentral. Lineage: Eukaryota; Viridiplantae; Streptophyta; Magnoliopsida; Malpighiales; Euphorbiaceae.